RNAcentral lists this non-coding RNA (28 nucleotides) under Bombyx mori (domestic silkworm). Lineage: Eukaryota; Metazoa; Arthropoda; Insecta; Lepidoptera; Bombycidae. The record is from RNAcentral.
CAGGACGAUCCAAUUUCUGGCACAGUAC